CAAUAGCGUAUAUUAAAGUUGUUGCAGUUAAAACGCUCGUAGUCGGAUUUCGGGGCGGGCCGACCGGUCUGCCGUUGGGUAUGCACUGGCCGGCGCGUCCUUCCUUCCGGAGACCGUGCCUUCUCUUAACUGGGCGGGUUCGGGAGACGGAACGUUUACUUUGAAAAAUCAGAGUGUUUCAAGCAGGCAGCUCGCUCUUGCAUGGAUUAGCAUGGGAUAAUGAAAUAAGACCUUGGUCUAUUUUGUUGGUUUGUACUCCAAGGUAAUGAUUAAUAGGGACAGUUGGGGGUAUUCGUAUUCAAUUGUCAGAGGUGAAAUUCUUGGAUUUAUUGAAGACGAACUACUGCGAAAGCAUUUACCAAGGAUGUUUUCAUUAAUCAAGAACGAAAGUUAGGGGAUCGAAGACGAUCAGAUACCAU
This 419-nucleotide ribosomal RNA is filed under the name uncultured eukaryote. RNAcentral's name for it is "bacterial SSU rRNA". It matches the Rfam family "Eukaryotic small subunit ribosomal RNA", at positions 592 to 1018 of the family's 1831-position model. The record is from RNAcentral.